UCUUCAAGUAGGUGUUCUUCAUCUCGUAGUGUCCAGGAUAGCUCAUCUAAUAGCAUGACUGGUAGCACAAAAGCUGAUGAUUUAGGCCGGUGAAAGAAUUUGCUAACAAACGGAAGCCAAGUUGUUCCGAAUUUGUGCUUAUCACUUGUUUUAUCUGUCUUCUCUCCUAGGAUCGUGCAGUCACUUUAGUCUUUAGUUUUUCCUCAAAUUAAAUCAAUCGUUAUGUGGUGAAGGCAGGGUGUGUCUGCUAACGUAGGCUAAUCUAGUCUAUUAUGAUGGACAUUUCUCUGCAUGAAUGCUGUGAGGGAUGUUGGUCACUGGUCAGGAUCGUCAUUAAUAUUUGCUUUCAUGGACCAGAAAGAUGCUUUAAGUGCAGUUAAAUGCUAGAUUUAAAUGAGAUCUAUUUGGUUGCAGGAAGACAA
Molecule: unclassified non-coding RNA, 422 nt
Filed under: Hevea brasiliensis (rubber tree)
Lineage: Eukaryota; Viridiplantae; Streptophyta; Magnoliopsida; Malpighiales; Euphorbiaceae
Source: RNAcentral